CCUACGGGUGGCAGCAGUGGGGAAUAUUGGACAAUGGGCGAAAGCCUGAUCCAGCCAUGCCGCGUGUGUGAAGAAGGCCUUUUGGUUGUAAAGCACUUUAAGCGGGGAGGCAUUACCCGCAGAAUAAGCACCGGCUAACUCUGUGCCAGCAGCCGCGGCAAUACAGAGGGUGCGAGCGUUAAUCGGAAUUACUGGGCGUAAAGCGCGCGUAGGCGGCUUGUUAAGUCGGAUGUGAAAUCCCUGGGCUCAACCUAGGCAUUGCAUUCGAUACUGGCAAGCUAGAGUAUGGGAGAGGAAGGUAGAAUUCCAGGUGUAGCGGUGAAAUGCGUAGAGAUCUGGAGGAAUACCGAUGGCGAAGGCAGCCUUCUGGCCUAAACUGACGCUGAGGUGCGAAAGCAUGGGGAGCAAACAGGAUUAGAUACCCUUGUAGUC
Molecule: ribosomal RNA, 432 nt
Filed under: uncultured bacterium
Lineage: Bacteria
Description: partial 16S ribosomal RNA
Rfam family: Bacterial small subunit ribosomal RNA
Source: RNAcentral